RNAcentral lists this ribosomal RNA (251 nucleotides) under uncultured prokaryote. RNAcentral describes it as "partial 16S rRNA". It matches the Rfam family "Bacterial small subunit ribosomal RNA", at positions 525 to 775 of the family's 1533-position model. The record is from RNAcentral.
ACGGGGGGAGCAAGCGUUGUCCGGAAUCAUUGGGCGUAAAGGGCGUGUAGGCGGCUUGGCAAGUCGAAUGUGAAAUCCCACGGCUCAACCGUGGAACUGCGUUCGAAACUGCCUUGCUUGAGUGCGGGAGAGGUGUGCGGAAUUCCUGGUGUAGCGGUGGAAUGCGUAGAUAUCAGGAAGAACGCCGGUGGCGAAGGGGGCACGCUGGCCCUGCACUGACGCUUAGGCGCGAAAGCGUGGGGAGCGAACGG